AUUGAACGCUGGCGGCAGGCCUAACACAUGCAAGUCGAGCGGAUGAAGGGUGCUUGCUCCUGGAUUCAGCGGCGGACGGGUGAGUAAUGCCUAGGAAUCUGCCUGGUAGUGGGGGAUAACGUCCGGAAACGGGCGCUAAUACCGCAUACGUCCUGCGGGAGAAAGUGGGGGAUCUUCGGACCUCACGCUAUCAGAUGAGCCUAGGUCGGAUUAGCUAGUUGGUGGGGUAAAGGCCUACCAAGGCGACGAUCCGUAACUGGUCUGAGAGGAAGAUCAGUCACACUGGAACUGAGACACGGUCCAGACUCCUACGGGAGGCAGCAGUGGGGAAUAUUGGACAAUGGGCGAAAGCCUGAUCCAGCCAUGCCGCGUGUGUGAAGAAGGUCUUCGGAUUGUAAAGCACGUUAAGUUGGGAGGAAGGGCAGUAAGUUAAUACCUUGCUGUUUUGACGGUACCAACAGAAUAAGCACCGGCUAACUUCGUG
RNAcentral lists this ribosomal RNA (484 nucleotides) under uncultured bacterium. Its description in RNAcentral is "partial 16S ribosomal RNA". It matches the Rfam family "Bacterial small subunit ribosomal RNA", at positions 30 to 507 of the family's 1533-position model. The record is from RNAcentral.